GCGCCCGUAGCUCAGGUGGAUAGAGCGGGAGUUUCCUAAACUCUAGGUCGUGGGUUCGAGUCCCGCCGGGCGCU
This 74-nucleotide transfer RNA is filed under the name Candidatus Poribacteria bacterium. Its description in RNAcentral is "tRNA-Arg". It matches the Rfam family "tRNA". Rfam says of the family: Transfer RNA (tRNA) molecules are approximately 80 nucleotides in length. Lineage: Bacteria; Candidatus Poribacteria. The record is from RNAcentral.